GACGAACGCUGGCGGCGUGCUUAACACAUGCAAGUCGAACGGAAAGGCCCUGCUUUUGUGGGGUGCUCGAGUGGCGAACGGGUGAGUAACACGUGAGUAACCUGCCCUUGAUUUUGGGAUAACUUCAGGAAACUGGGGCUAAUACCGGAUAGGAGCUCCUGCUGCAUGGUGGGGGUUGGAAAGUUUCGGCGGUUGGGGAUGGACUCGCGGCUUAUCAGCUUGUUGGUGGGGUAGUGGCUUACCAAGGCUUUGACGGGUAGUCGGCCUGAGAGGGUGACCGGGCACAUUGGGACUGAGAUACGGCCCAGACUCCUACGGGGGGCAGCAGUGGGGAGUAUUGCACAAUGGGCGGAAGCCUGAUGCAGCGACGCCGCGUGCGGGAUGACGGCCUUCGGGUUGUGAACCGCUUUCGCCUGUGACGAAGCGUGAGUGACGGUAAUGGGUGAAGAAGCACCGGCUAACUACGUG
Molecule: ribosomal RNA, 468 nt
Filed under: uncultured bacterium
Lineage: Bacteria
Description: partial 16S ribosomal RNA
Rfam family: Bacterial small subunit ribosomal RNA
Source: RNAcentral